GCUGCUGUAGCUCAGGCGGUAGAGCGCAUCCUUGGUAAGGAUGAGGUCGGCAGUUCGAAUCUGCCCAGCAGCUCCA
RNAcentral lists this transfer RNA (76 nucleotides) under Flavonifractor plautii. RNAcentral's name for it is "tRNA-Thr(ggt)". It matches the Rfam family "tRNA". From Rfam's summary of the family: Transfer RNA (tRNA) molecules are approximately 80 nucleotides in length. Their secondary structure includes four short double-helical elements and three loops (D, anti-codon, and T loops). Lineage: Bacteria; Bacillati; Bacillota; Clostridia; Eubacteriales; Oscillospiraceae. RNAcentral also lists the same sequence under 5 other names. The record is from RNAcentral.